AAUGAACGUUGGCGGCGUGCCUAACACAUGCAAGUCGAACGAGGUCCAAUCUGUAGCAAUACAGAUGAAGACCGAGUGGCGAACGGGUGAGUAGCACGUGAGCAACCUGCCCCGAAGACCGGGACAACACCGGGAAACCGGUGCUAAUACCGGAUAUCCCCAUCGAGUCGCAUGGCUUGAUGAGGAAAUGGAUUCCGCUUCGGGAGGGGCUCGCGGCCUAUCAGCUUGUUGGUGAGGUAACGGCUCACCAAGGCUUCGACGGGUAGCUGGUCUGAGAGGACGAUCAGCCACACUGGGACUGAGACACGGCCCAGACUCCUACGGGAGGCAGCAGUGGGGAAU
This 342-nucleotide ribosomal RNA is filed under the name uncultured bacterium. RNAcentral describes it as "bacterial SSU rRNA". It matches the Rfam family "Bacterial small subunit ribosomal RNA", at positions 29 to 362 of the family's 1533-position model. The record is from RNAcentral.